This 814-nucleotide ribosomal RNA is filed under the name uncultured bacterium. RNAcentral's name for it is "bacterial SSU rRNA". It matches the Rfam family "Bacterial small subunit ribosomal RNA", at positions 8 to 809 of the family's 1533-position model. The record is from RNAcentral.
AGAGUUUGAUCCUGGCUCAGGAUGAACGCUAGCUACAGGCUUAACACAUGCAAGUCGAGGGGAAACGAUAGAGAAAGCUUGCUUUUUCUAGGCGUCGACCGGCGCACGGGUGAGUAACGCGUAUCCAACCUGCCCACCACUUGGGGAUAACCUUGCGAAAGUAAGACUAAUACCCAAUGACGUCUCUAGAAGACAUCUGAAAGAGAUUAAAGAUUUAUCGGUGAUGGAUGGGGAUGCGUCUGAUUAGCUUGUUGGCGGGGUAACGGCCCACCAAGGCGACGAUCAGUAGGGGUUCUGAGAGGAAGGUCCCCCACAUUGGAACUGAGACACGGUCCAAACUCCUACGGGAGGCAGCAGUGAGGAAUAUUGGUCAAUGGACGAGAGUCUGAACCAGCCAAGUAGCGUGCAGGAAGACGGCCCUAUGGGUUGUAAACUGCUUUUAUAAGGGAAUAAAGUGAGAGUCGUGACUCUUUUUGCAUGUACCUUAUGAAUAAGGACCGGCUAAUUCCGUGCCAGCAGCCGCGGUAAUACGGAAGGUCCGGGCGUUAUCCGGAUUUAUUGGGUUUAAAGGGAGCGUAGGCCGGAGAUUAAGCGUGUUGUGAAAUGUAGACGCUCAACGUCUGCACUGCAGCGCGAACUGGUUUCCUUGAGUACGCACAAAGUGGGCGGAAUUCGUGGUGUAGCGGUGAAAUGCUUAGAUAUCACGAAGAACUCCGAUUGCGAAGGCAGCUCACUGGAGCGCAACUGAUGCUGAAGCUCGAAAGUGCGGGUAUCGAACAGGAUUAGAUACCCUGGUAGUCCGCACGGUAAACGA